UCAUUAGUGAAUCGGCCCUCUGUGGCCUUCAUACCAUCCUCACACCUCUGUGAACCGUUGGGCCUCGGCCCACUACACACAAACUAUUGUCGUCACGAACGUCCAUUGUAUAACAGAAAACAUAACUUUCAACAACGGAUCUCUUGGCUCUCGCAUCGAUGAAGAACGCAGCGAAAUGCGAUAAGUAAUGUGAAUUGCAGAAUUCAGUGAAUCAUCGAAUCUUUGAACGCAACUUGCGCCUCUUGGUAUUCCGAGAGGCAUGCCUGUUUGAGUGUCAUGAAUACCUCAACCCCCCUGGGUUUUUUUGGACCCUAGGGACGGUUGGAGAUGGGCGUCCUGCCGGUGUCGAGCCGGCUCGCCUCAAAGGUCUCAGUGGGAUCCUCGACCCCAUGCCUGACGUGAUAAGUUUCGUCUGGGCCAGGUCGUGCGACGUCUGCUCACAACCAACCAUAUUCUGUUACUCUGACCUCAAAUCAGGUAGGGCUACCCGCUGAACUUAAGCAUAUCAAUAAGCGGAGGAAAAGAAACUAACAAGGAUUCCCCUAGUAACGGCGAGUGAACAGGGAAGAGCUCAAAUUUGUAAUCUGGCGUCCUUUGGGCGUCCGAGUUGUAAUCUAUAGAAGUGUUUUCCGUGCUGGACCGUGUCCAAGUCCCUUGGAACAGGGUAUCAAAGAGGGUGACANUCCCGUACUUGACAUGACGACCAGUGCUCUGUGAUACGCUCUCUACGAGUCGAGUUGUUUGGGAAUGCAGCUCAAAACGGGUGGUGAGUUCCAUCUAAAGCUAAAUAUUGGCGAGAGACCGAUAGCGAACAAGUACCGUGAGGGAAAGAUGAAAAGCACUUUGGAAAGAGAGUUAAACAGUACGUGAAAUUGUUGAAAGGGAAACGAUUGAAGUCAGUCGUGUCCGAGGGGUUCAGCCGGUCCUGCCGGUGUACUCCCCUCGGACGGGUCAACAUCAGUUUGGGCCGGCGGAAAAGGGCGGUCGGAAUGUGGCAGCCUCGGCUGUGUUAUAGCCUUCCGUCGCAUACGCUGGUCCAGACUGAGGAAUGCAGCUCGCCCUCGUGGCUGGGGUUCUCCCACAUUCGAGCUUAGGAUGUUGACAUAANGGCUUUAAACGACC
RNAcentral lists this ribosomal RNA (1122 nucleotides) under uncultured fungus. RNAcentral's name for it is "eukaryotic LSU rRNA". The stretch from base 464 to 1122 matches the Rfam family "Eukaryotic large subunit ribosomal RNA", at positions 1 to 649 of the family's 3401-position model. The record is from RNAcentral. Lineage: Eukaryota; Fungi.